RNAcentral lists this small nuclear RNA (104 nucleotides) under Vulpes vulpes (red fox). Lineage: Eukaryota; Metazoa; Chordata; Mammalia; Carnivora; Canidae. The record is from RNAcentral.
GUGCUCAGUUCGGCAGUACAUGUUCUAAAAUUGGAAUGAUACAGAGAUUAGCAUGGCCCCUGCCCAAGGAUGACACGCAAAUUUGUGAAGUGUUCCAAAUUUUU